GACAGAGGGUGCAAACGUUGUUCGGAAUUACUGGGCGUAAAGCGCGUGUAGGCUGCUUCGCAAGUCGGAUGUGAAAGCCCUGGGCUCAACCCAGGAAGUGCAUUCGAAACUGCAGAGCUGGAGUCCUGGAGAGGAAGGCGGAAUUCUCGGUGUAGAGGUGAAAUUCGUAGAUAUGACAUAGAACACCAAUUGCGAAGGCAGCUCACUACACGCAUAUUGACUCUGAGGCACGAAAGCGUGGGGAGCAAACAGG
This 253-nucleotide ribosomal RNA is filed under the name uncultured bacterium. RNAcentral describes it as "partial 16S ribosomal RNA". It matches the Rfam family "Bacterial small subunit ribosomal RNA", at positions 524 to 776 of the family's 1533-position model. The record is from RNAcentral.